CAGCCGCCGCGGUAAUACGUGGGUGGCAAGCGUUGUCCGGAAUUAUUGGGCGUAAAGGGCUCGCAGGCGGUUUCUUAAGUCUGAUGUGAAAGCCCCCGGCUCAACCGGGGAGGGUCAUUGGAAACUGGGAAACUUGAGUGCAGAAGAGGAGAGUGGAAUUCCACGUGUAGCGGUGAAAUGCGUAGAGAUGUGGAGGAACACCAGUGGCGAAGGCGACUCUCUGGUCUGUAACUGACGCUGAGGAGCGAAAGCGUGGGGAGCGAACAGGAUUAGAUACCCCAGUAGUCCCUGUCUCUUAUAA
This 301-nucleotide ribosomal RNA is filed under the name uncultured bacterium. RNAcentral's name for it is "partial 16S ribosomal RNA". It matches the Rfam family "Bacterial small subunit ribosomal RNA", at positions 509 to 809 of the family's 1533-position model. The record is from RNAcentral.